UCCCGAAGUGAAAACGCUAUGGUCACCUU
This 29-nucleotide small RNA is filed under the name Bombyx mori (domestic silkworm). Its description in RNAcentral is "ovarian small RNA-27287". The record is from RNAcentral. Lineage: Eukaryota; Metazoa; Arthropoda; Insecta; Lepidoptera; Bombycidae.